This 261-nucleotide long non-coding RNA is filed under the name Dendronephthya gigantea. RNAcentral's name for it is "uncharacterized LOC114545081, transcript variant X1". The record is from RNAcentral. Lineage: Eukaryota; Metazoa; Cnidaria; Anthozoa; Malacalcyonacea; Nephtheidae.
GUUCUUGAACAAGAAACAAACACGGCCAAGGCAAGUGUAAAUGACUUCAUUGACCGUUGAGGCAUUUGUGCUGUACAAAGGUGUUAUCAUGCAAAGACGUGUCAUUACUAUAAUUUGCUGCAACAAGCGAUAUACCAGUGGAACUUCAAAAUCCACAUGUCAUCAAGAAACAUCAGAUGUUUGUUUGAAUCCUCAAAACAGUACCCGACUCCGCAGUUUUAAAUUCUUCGAACAACGUGAACUACUUGACAAGCCUGGGUA